Molecule: ribosomal RNA, 382 nt
Filed under: uncultured Hydrogenophaga sp.
Lineage: Bacteria; Pseudomonadati; Pseudomonadota; Betaproteobacteria; Burkholderiales; Comamonadaceae
Description: bacterial SSU rRNA
Rfam family: Bacterial small subunit ribosomal RNA
Source: RNAcentral
CAUGGAGUUUGAUCCUGGCUCAGAUUGAACGCUGGCGGCAUGCUUUACACAUGCAAGUCGAACGGUAACAGGUUAAGCUGACGAGUGGCGAACGGGUGAGUAAUGCAUCGGAACGUGCCCGGUCGUGGGGGAUAACGCAGCGAAAGCUGCGCUAAUACCGCAUACGAUCUGAGGAUGAAAGCGGGGGACCGUAAGGCCUCGCGCGAUCGGAGCGGCCGAUGUCAGAUUAGGUAGUUGGUGGGGUAAAGGCUCACCAAGCCGACGAUCUGUAGCUGGUCUGAGAGGACGACCAGCCACACUGGAACUGAGACACGGUCCAGACUCCGUACGGGAGCAGCAGUGGGGUAAUUUUGGACAAUGGACGCAAGUCUGAUCCCAGCCA